Molecule: long non-coding RNA, 546 nt
Organism: Ananas comosus (pineapple)
Lineage: Eukaryota; Viridiplantae; Streptophyta; Magnoliopsida; Poales; Bromeliaceae
Exons: 5
Source: RefSeq, a predicted model, not a curated record
CUUUUUGGUAAUUUCACCUUCUAAUCCCUAUCUAUAACCCCCAGCACGACUCCAGGAGCUCUGUGGAAGGGUCUUGAGACCAGAGGAGGGUUCUUCCACCAUUUUUUCUCUUUCUCUCUCUAGGGUUUUUCUCUCUCUACAGAGAACUCGCCGUUUUAGCCGUUUUCGUCGCCACGCGCGUUCUUCGCUGAUUGCGAGCAUCGCAGAGGUUGCGUGAUCGUGGGAGAGAGUAUUUUGGAGGUUUUUUCGCAGCUUUGGACCAGGAGUUUGCUUGUUGGAUGCCUAAGCAGCAGGUUUUCGAACCUAAUUAAACUUAUUUAGUGACCUUGGGGACUAGUGAGGAAGGUGCUAUAACCUGAGGGAAGCAAGAAUUUCAGCAGGCUUGCGACCGGGUCUUGGAGUACAUUUCGCUGACUUAUAGGGGCUUUUAGAUACUUAACUUGAGCAGGAUCGGAGCCUUGUUGAGCAGUAUAUUGGGACUUCGGGUGACUAAUUGGAGCUUCAUAAUAGAGCCAUCUACAGGAGAGGCUAGGGAUCGUGGCAAGG